Molecule: long non-coding RNA, 932 nt
Filed under: Anas platyrhynchos platyrhynchos (common mallard)
Lineage: Eukaryota; Metazoa; Chordata; Aves; Anseriformes; Anatidae
Description: lncRNA (ENSAPLG00000016578.1)
Source: RNAcentral
UUUUCGGUGGUGGUGGUGAGCGGGCUUUUCGUCGGCCUCCCCCCCCCUCCAACGGCACCGCCUGAUCCACGCCGCCCUCAGCGCCGAACUGGCCGGCCCCCUGCACGCCCUCGCCAUCGUCGCCAAGACCCCCCAGCAGUGGGAACAAGACCCCCACGUCCCCCCCCGGCCCCCCUGCCUGGGGGGGUCCAAGCACGAGCGGCGCGGGGCCGGCGACGCCGCUUCGGCGUGAUGCUGAGCCCCUAAAUGGGGGUUUUGGGGGGGUUUUGGUCGUUUUAGGGUUUUUUUGGGGGUCGUUUUUAGGGUAUGGAGGAUCUGGGGGCGCAGCUUUUGGGGUGACCCCCCCCACACACCCAGCCCGCGCUGCGCCUUCCCAUUGAUCCCCUCCUAAAUUUUGGGGGGCGAUUUGGGGGAUUUUCAAUCCACUCCCAAAUUUUUGGGGGCGAUUUGGGGGAUUUUCAAUCCACUCCCAAAUUUUUUUGGGGGGCGAUUUGGAGGAUUUUCAAUCCCCUCCCAAAUUUUGGGGGGCGAUUUGGGGGAUUUUCUCCACGCCACCUUCAAGGCGUCCACCUCUUGCCCCCCCCCCCAUGUAAAUCUUCCCCCCCCCCAACCCUCAUCACGCCCCCCCGCAUCCCAAACCCCGACCCCAAAAAUAAACAGCUCCUGGUCCUGAUCCGAAGCGGCUCCGCUGGGUGUUAUUGGGGUAACACGGCGUAAGGGGGGGGGGGGGAUUUCAUUAUUUUUUUUGUCGUUUCCGUGGUUUUCAUCAUUUUUGUUGUUUUUUUUCUUUAAUUCUUUACAAACAUCUAAAAACUACAGCACGGCACGAACUGCAUACGGACAGAACUAGGGGUGUGCUCCGAGAAAAAGACCAGCUACAGCGAAAUGGGGGGGGGGCGCGAGGAAGAGGAGGAGGAGGAGGAGGAGGAAGA